GAUGAACGCCGGCGGUGUGCCUAAUACAUGCAAGUCGUACGCACUGGCCCAACUGAUUGAUGGUGCUUGCACCGGAUUGACGAUGGAUCACCAGUGAGUGGCGGACGGGUGAGUAACACGUAGGUAACCUGCCCCGGAGCGGGGGAUAACAUUUGGAAACAGAUGCUAAUACCGCAUAACAACAAAAGCUACAUGGCUUUUGUUUGAAAGAUGGCUUUGGCUAUCACUCUGGGAUGGACCUGCGGUGCAGUAGCUAGUUGGUAAGGUAACGGCUUACCAAGGCGAUGAUGCAUAGCCGAGUUGAGAGACUGAUCGGCCACAAUGGAACUGAGACACGGUCCAU
RNAcentral lists this ribosomal RNA (343 nucleotides) under uncultured bacterium. Its description in RNAcentral is "bacterial SSU rRNA". It matches the Rfam family "Bacterial small subunit ribosomal RNA", at positions 28 to 334 of the family's 1533-position model. The record is from RNAcentral.